Molecule: long non-coding RNA, 41412 nt
Filed under: Triticum aestivum (bread wheat)
Lineage: Eukaryota; Viridiplantae; Streptophyta; Magnoliopsida; Poales; Poaceae
Description: long non-coding RNA (TAES_LNC004595)
Source: RNAcentral
UAGUUUGCGGCCCCUUCUCUCUUGUCCAGUUCUCAGAGCUUUGUUGUUGGAAUCUGAAGGGAUAUGAAGUGUUGAUAGCAAGCUACGUGUCCGCUGUCAGCGUAGAUAGAUUAAACAAGGGAAAGGUUGGCUUGCUGGUCCGGUAAAUCUGAAGUAAAUUUUGUAACACCUGGUUAGAUUGUCUGGUUUCCUGGUAAAUAGUGGAUUGUGCAGUCAGAGACACACCGUCUUGUAGUACUUACUGUAAACUAAGGUUAAACUGUAACACUGGAUUCUACCGCACAGUUUCUGUAUCUUAAACUUGUGAAAUUGCUUGCACGGAAUUUGAAAUUACUGAAUUUGACAGGCAUACUCCAGAGUGAGAGGUUGGCUCUUGUAUAAUGCCAGCUUAACCCAGGACAGACAGCGGUAAGUUGUCCGGCUCGUUGGUGGCAACUGCAUACCUGGGUCCUGAACACCUCCGCCUGGGGCGUGGUCUUUCAGAAGGCCCCGUGCAUAUGCUGUAUCCUUGGAGCAAGAUCGAUUCUCUUGAGGCCGUUUUGCCUGCACAUGUUUUUCUCUUUUCUUUUCCAAUUAGCACAUGCGUUCUAUCUAUGUUUGUGGCUUCCGUGGGUAGUUUCAGCUAGAUCGUUCUGAACUCCCAGAUGCCCAUAGCCAGAACAUAUAUAGUUCGAAAAAGGAAGAAAAAAAAUGACAGGCGUAUGCUGCCCAAAAAUAAGCGCUCCCAAGAUAUUGGUGGCACGCCACAGUUCAAGGUGGCCAACCAAACGUUGGUGGCCAGAAAGAAAAAGACCGCCUCUGUGUUUGCUCUCUUUGCUGGCUGCUAUCCACAUUGGGAUCUCGAAUUCACCUUGGAUUUCGUAGCGUAGAACAAGGCUCCGUUCGUCCGUCAAGCAUCCUCUGUCGCAGGUGAAUUGGCUCUAAAUGUCUCCGUCUGUUCUGCUGGAUUCCGGCUACCAGAUAAGGCGGCAAGGAAUGUUGAGAUUCCUUUGAUCUCCUCUCAAUUGUCUGUUCUGCUGGCUAAACAUGAAGUUUCCAACGCAGGAUGAUCUAAUAGCUGUGAGUUCUUGGUGGCAUCGAUCACACUGAGAAGGAUUCAAAGGGAAAAACGCAAUUGAAAUAAAGUUUCACCACACGAAACCUAAGCGAGAAGCCGAUGGCAAGCACCGAUGAUCCGAAGAACGAGCCGUCGUCCUCUUGGUCCAUUUUUAAUUGGAACAAUAAAGUGGGUNNNNNNNNNNNNNNNNNNNNNNNNNNNNNNNNNNNNNNNNNNNNNNNNNNNNNNNNNNNNNNNNNNNNNNNNNNNNNNNNNNNNNNNNNNNNNNNNNNNNNNNNNNNNNNNNNNNNNNNNNNNNNNNNNNNNNNNNNNNNNNNNNNNNNNNNNNNNNNNNNNNNNNNNNNNNNNNNNNNNNNNNNNNNNNNNNNNNNNNNNNNNNNNNNNNNNNNNNNNNNNNNNNNNNNNNNNNNNNNNNNNNNNNNNNNNNNNNNNNNNNNNNNNNNNNNNNNNNNNNNNNNNNNNNNNNNNNNNNNNNNNNNNNNNNNNNNNNNNNNNNNNNNNNNNNNNNNNNNNNNNNNNNNNNNNNNNNNNNNNNNNNNNNNNNNNNNNNNNNNNNNNNNNNNNNNNNNNNNNNNNNNNNNNNNNNNNNNNNNNNNNNNAUGUGAACUACUAUCUGCUACCAGAGCCGGAGGUCGAGCAACCGAGAAUGAGAAGCACCCAAGAGAUCCUCACAAAAUAUAAAUUCAACGGGGUAUUAUAUUUCUUCACCUUUGAAUUUUGCAUGUACCCCUAUAUUGCUUGUCUCUUGCUGAUUUAGCUAGUAGCUGUAAAUUGCGCUCCAGGAUGCUGCCGCGGCAGCGGCGCACGCAAAGGAUAAGCUCAUGGAGCGGCAGGAGAAACUCGCGGUAAAACGAUUUGGUUCCUUCUGUUGUUCAAUCGACGCCAAGAGAGUAAGGUAAAUCUGAUAUCCUGUUUCUUGGAUGCCAGAAAAUGGUUGAAGAAUCCGCAGAGUUUGAGAGCGAGGCGGAAAACUUUGCCACCCUCGGUCAGCAGAUCAGGAAAUCCCUGGAGACCAAGAGAUGGUGGUGGCCAUCGUGAUUCAUAACCAAUCAUCUGGUCUUCGAGCGUGUGAUGUAGUGUCAAAAACGCCUUAUAUAUUAUGAAACGGAGGGAGUAAUACCAAUGCGUUUAGCAUGCCUGGCUGCUGCACUGGUCUGCGCGUGCUAAAUGAAACGAGAGCAAGACGUUGCCUUUUAGCAACAAGUGGGAAUGAUUGUGGACGGAUACAUGUAUCUACUCCUACUACUUAGUUUUAAUUCCGUGAUCGCGAUGGCUGACGACCGUGCGAUUAACUUCUCACCCGCCAGCGCCAUACAUGUACUAUUCCUUUUAGUCUCAUAAUAUAAGACGUUUUGUAUUAUUAGUAUAGUGUUAAAAAAGUCUUACAUUAUUGGACGCAGGAAGUAGCUCUUAUCGUGGACGGAUAAAUGGUACGAGGAGGCAUAUUUUGCUUGCGGGCUGAAUGGUGCUAAGAGAAGACACGGGUGGCGUGUGCCAGCCAUCGGUUGGAGGCUUCUCCGGUUGGACCGUCUAUUGAUGAGGUUAGGCUGCUUGCUAGUUCCCUUUUCCACUUGCUAUGUCGCCUCUCCAGUUCCUAAACUAGUAUGACCCCGUGAUCUCUGUGGUCUGAGAAUGGACCGUCCUAUAAACAGAGACAGGAGCCUCUAGUGUAGCAUCAACUAACUAUCCGGUAGUUGUACUUCACGUAGCAUAGAGUUAGCUGAUGGUGCGUGGGUGAUAUGGUUGAGUGGUGGCACGAGGACCUCGUGGCCUCCUGCCGGCCACACCCGCAGCCGCGGUUCCCAGCAAUUUCCUUUUAUUAGCCCGUGUGUUUAGUGGGAGGACUUUCCAGGUCCUUAUCGGACAAAGUGGUUAACCAACGCAAAGCAGCCCGUGCGCCGGCCAUGGACCAACACCAACACGGUGCGUGCUGACGCUACCUUCUGCUCCGUCCAGGGGAAAAGAGAGGAGCAAACAUCAGCGACCGCUCUAGGACAGAGUACCACUCUUAUCUUUUAACCAGUUGACUGAUCAUGUGUGUGGCGGUAGUCAGUAGUACUCCAUGCUAGCUCGGGCGCCACCUAGUUGCGAACCCAAGCGUGACACACAGGCACUGCCACAUCAAUCUCCCGUGCAAAUAUCCGAGCCGUCCAACGCCACCGGCCCCGUGGGAGCUUGAGACCUCCUUCAAUGCAUUGGUGCUAAGGUGAAGUGCUAAAUGCAUUAAAAAACUUAGCAACUACUCUUCAAACCAAUGGCCGACCAAGAUUUUGCUAAACCUGUUGCAUUUGUGCUUAGCUUUUGUAGCUACAUUUGAACCUGUUGCAUUUAGCUAAACUUUUGCAUGUCAACUUUUCUUUGAACCAAUGACCACAGAGGGAGGCUUAGCUACAAAAGCUAAGCACCAACGGCUGACAUUUGAACCUGUUGCAUUUAGCUAAAAUUUUGCAUGUCAAUUUUUCUUCGAACCAAUGGUCGACCAAGAUUUUGACCAUAGAGGGUGCCAACUUUCUCAUUCACAACAAAAAUGCCAGGUAUAACCAUAAAAGAAAUGUCAGUUUAUCACUCUAUCCUUAUAAUACAUACUCCCGCUGUCCCAAAUAAGUGUCUCAUACUUAGAGUUGUACUAAGCUUGAGACACUUAUUUUGAAACGGAGGGAGUAUAUGAUUAAACUAAGAGUACUAGAUAAAAAAAGAUUUGCAUUUUUUGAGGGAAUGCCAGAGCACCCACGAAACUCCCACGGGAUCCGACACUGCUCCGAACCCUUGAUGAAGAAGACCAAAUCUACACGAACUAGAUUAACUUCAUAAGUGUUGCAUUAGUUAUUCACACCAAUAGGCGAUAAUCUAAUAUUGUUGAAUGCACUAUUGCCUGGGACACACCCCUUGCAAGGCAGUGUCGAACCGUUGUUUCUUCGCCGUACUAUUUGGAAAGAAGAUUAUGACUCUCUUUGAUUCAUAGGAUUGUCAAAACACAUGAAUAUGAAAAAUACAGGAUUGGUCUCCUUUGGCUCACGGGAUAGAAAUAUCAUAAUUAUAGAAAAAGAGAUCUUAUAGAAAAAUCAUAGAAAGUGAGAUGACAUAUAUCUCAAUUUCUCUAUCUAAAGAGAUGUCAUUUGAUGCAUGUGAUAGUAUUUUCCCACUGAGUCUAGGCUAAGACCUUCUUUUCAAAGGAAAAUUUUCUUUGGAGCCAUUUGGUUUGUAGUAAUGGAUUUCUAUUCCUAUGUAGGAUAAAAACCAAUCCUUCACAUUUUAAAGAAAAAACAUUAGCCUAAACUCAAGGAAAAAAAUCUUAUCCUCUCCAUCAAAUGCCAUCUCUUUCCAUCUAUGAAUUGACAUACGAUCACCUCACUUCAUAUGCUUUUCCUAUUCCAAUGAUAUUCCCAUCCUAUGAAUCAAAGAAGGCCUAUUUUUCCCUUUCAAAGGUGAAGGAUAGGUUCUUAUCCUACAUAGAAAGAGGAAUCCAUUUCUACAAACCAAAGAGCUCCAAAGAAAAAUUUCCUACAAAAUUCCUAUCCUUUAUGAUUCCUAGAAAAUUCAUGUAAACCAAAGGACUCCUUCGAGUUGCAUGCCCACUUGAACUCUAUAGGGUUAGUAGAGAGUGUUUGAUGCCAUAGGAAAAACAAAGAAAUUAUAAAAAGAGGUUGGAGUGAAUGUUAGAUUUCCUACGAAAUAUAGUACACAUGGUUCUUUAGAAAAAAAUCCAUACGAUUUAUAGGAUUUAAUCCUAUGAAUCAAACGACCAACUUAGAAAAAAUUCUUAAUGAUUCUAACCAUCCAAAAAUCCUAGGGAAUUUAUCUGAAUCGAAGCAGCCCUAGGAGCGCAAAAAAGGCAAAGACAAAGCUCACAAGGAAGAUAACUAGGAUAGUCACUGUUGGCACACCUGUCUAACUGAAGGAAAUAUGCCCUAGAGGCAAUAAUGAAGUUGUUAUUUUAUAUUUCCUUAUUCAUGAUAAAGGUUUAUUAUUCAUGCUAGAAUUGUAUUGAUCGGAAACCUUAAUACAUGUGUGAAUACAUAAACAAACACCGUGUCCCUAGUGAGCCUCUACUAGACUAGCUCGUUGAUCAAAGAUGGUUAAGGUUUCCUAACCAUUGACAUGAGUUGUCAUUUGAUAACGGGAUCAUAUCAUUAGGAGAAUGAUGUGAUGGACAAGACCCAUCCAUUAGCUUAACAUUAUGAUCGUUAAGUUUUAUCGCUAUUGCUUUCUUCAUGUCAAAUACAUAUUCCUUCGACUAUGAGAUUAUGCAACUCCCGGAUACCAGAGGAAUGCCUUGUGUGCUAUCAAAACAUCACAACGUAACUAGGUGAUUAUAAAGAUGCUCUACAGGUAUCUCCGAAGGUGUUUGUUGAGUUGGCAUAGAUCGAGAUUAGGAUUUGUCACUCCGAGUAUCAGAGAGAUAUCUUUGGGCCCUCUUGGUAAUACACAUCAUAAGCUUGCAAGCAAACGACUAAGGAGUUAGUCACGAGGUAAUGUAUUACCGAACAAGUAAAGAGACCUACCGGUAACGAGAUUGAACUAGGUAUGAAGAUACCGACGAUCAAAUCUCGGGCAAGUAACAUACCGACAGACAAAGGGAAUAACGUAUAUUGUCAUAACGGUUCGACCGGUAAAGAUCUUCAUAGAAUAUGUAGGAGCCAAUAUGGGCAUCCAGGUUCCGCUAUUGGUUAUUGACCGGAGAUGUGUCUCGGUCAUGUCUACAUAGUUCUCGAACCCGUGGGGUCCAAACACUUAACGUUCGAUGACGAUAUUGUAUUAUAUGAGUUAUGUUGACCGAAUGUUGUUCAGAGUCCCGGAUGAGAUCACAGAUAUGACGAGGAGUCUCGAAAUGGUCGAGAGAUAAAGAUUGAUAUAUAGGACGAUAGUAUUCGGACAACGAAAGUGUUCUGGAGGGUACCGGGUACAUAUCGGGUCACCGGAAGGGGUUCCGGGCACCCCCGGCAAAAGAUAUGGGCCUAAUGGGCCAAGAGGGGAAACGCACCAGCCACCAGGGGCUGGUGCCAUGGGGAGACCCCAAGUAGGAUUCAGCCUACUUGGGUGCCUCCUUGGCUGCCUCCCUCUCCCUCACACCUAUAUAUAUGGGGGGGGGGCUAGCACACACGCCCCCCUCCAUCGUUUUCUCCCACGGUCAUAUCUUCGUAGUGCUUAGGCGAAGCCCUGUGAGGAUCACUUCACCAUCACUGUCACCACGCCGUCGUGCUGACGGAACUCAUCUACUACCUCGACGUCUUGCUGGAUCAAGAAGGCAAGGGACGUCACCGAGCUGAACGUGUGCAGGAACACGGAGGUGCCGUGCGUCCGGUACUUGAUUGGUUGAAGCGCGAAGAAGUUCGACUACAUCAAGCGCGUUGAGAAACGCUUCCGCUUACGGUCUACUAGGGUACGUAGACACACUCUCCCCCUCGUUGCUAUGCAUCUCCAUGGAUAGAUCAUUACGUGUGCGUAGAUUUUUUUUUUGUUUUCCAUGCAAUGUUUCCCAAUAGUGGCAUCAUGAGCCAGGUCUAUGCGUAGAUGAUAUGCACGAGUAGAACACAAAGAGUUGUGGGCGGUGAUAGUCAUACUACUUACCACCAACGUCUUAUCUUGAUUUGACGGUAUUGUGGGAUGAAGCGGCCCCGACCAACCUUACAUGUCCACGCACAUGAGAUCCCCGUUUACUAGGAAGAUAAGAAUCAAAAGGAUCGAACUACCUACUCAUUAUUCGGAGGUGACCGGUUUCACCGACAGACAUGCAACUAGUUUUGCAUAAAGGUGGCUGGCAGGUGUCUGUUUAUCCUACUUUAGUUGAAUCGAAUUUGACUGCGGCCGGUCCUUGAAGAAGGUUAAAACAUCAAACUUGACGAAACACCGUUGUGGUUUGAUGCGUAGGUAAGAACGGUUCUUGCUAGUAGCCCGUAGCAGCCACGUAAAAGUUGCAACAACAAAGUAGAGGAUGUCUAACUUGUUUUUGCAGGGCAUGUUGUGAUGUGAUAUGGUCAAGACAUAAUGUGAUAUACGUUAUUGUAUGAGAUGAUCAUGUUUUGUAAAAGUUAUCGGCAACCGACAGAAGCCUUAUGGUUGUCUUUUUAUUGUAUGAAAUGCAAACACCAUGUAAUUGAUUUACUUUAUCACUAUGCGUUAGCGAUAGUUGUAGAAGCAAUAGUUGGCGAGACGACCACGACGCAACGAUGGAGAUCAAGGUGUCGAGUCGGUGACAAUGGAGAUCAUGACGAUGCUUUGGAGAUGGAGAUCAAAAGCACAAGAUGACGAUGGCUAUAUCAUGUCACAUAUUUUGAUUGCAUAUGAUGUUUAUCUUUUAUGCAUCUUAUUUUGCUUAGCACGGCGGUAGCAUUAUAAGAUGAUCCCUUUACUAAAUUUCAAGGUAAAAGUGUUCUCGCUGAGUAUGCACCGUUGCUACAGUUCGUUGUGUUGAGUAAUACGUCUCCGUCGUAUCUAUAAUUUUUGAUUGUUUCAUGCCAAUAUUAUACAACUUUCACAUAUUUUUGGUAACUUUUUAUAUGAUUUAUUGGAUUAACUUAUUGAUCUAGUGCCCAGUGCCGGUGCCAGUUCCUGUUUUUUGCAUGUUUUUUGUAUCAUAGAAUAUCCAUAUCAAACGAAGUCCAAAUGCAAUAAAAUUUUACGGAGAAUUAUUUUGGAAUAUUUGUGAUUUUUGGGAGCUGGAAUCACCGCAAACAGAGGCCCACACAGCCCACAAGACACCAGGGCGCGGCCCCGGAGCCAGGCACGUGGUGGUGGGUUGUGCUCACCUCGUACGUCGGUUGGAGCUCUACUUCGGGCGCAAGGAAGCUUAUAUCCGAAAAAAAUCAUGUUAAAAUCUCAGCGCAAUCGGAGUUACGAAUCUCCGGGAAUAUAAAAAACGGUUUUUGGCCAGAUCUGAGGAACGCAAAACAGAAGGGAACAGUGAGAUAGAUCCAAUCUCGGAGGGGCUCUGCCCCUCCGCCGCCAUGGAGGCCAUGGACCAGAGGGGGAACUCUCCUCCCAUCUAGGGGGAGGCCAAGGAAUAAGAAGAAGGAGGGGGGCUCUCUCCCGGUGGCAUCGAAACUCCGCCGGGGCAAGGAUCGUGACGGCGAUCUACAUCAACAAUCUUGCUACCGUCAACACCAACUUUCUCCCCCUCUAUGCAGCGGUGUAACCUCCCUUCUCCCUGCUAUAAUCUCUACUUAAACAUGGUGCUCAACUCCAUAUAUUAUUUCCCAAUGAUAUGUGGUUAUCCUAUGAUGUUUGAGUAGAUCCGUUUUGUCCCGUGGGUUAAUCGUGAUCUUGGUUGGUAUGAUUGCAUAUUUUAUUUAUGGUGCUGUCCUACGGUGCCCUCUGUCUCGCGCAAACGGAGGGAUCCUCGUUGUAGGGUGUUGCAAUACGUUCAUGAUUCGCUUAUGGUGGGUUGCGAGAGUGAUAGAAGCUUAAACCCGAGUAGGUGGGUUGUUGCGUAUGUGAUAAAGAGGACUUGAUACUUAAUGCUAUGGUUGGGUUUCACGACCUUAAUGAUCUUUAGUAGUUGCGGAUGCUUACUAGGGGUCCAAUCAUAAGUGCAUAUGAUCCAAGUAGAGAAGGUAUGUUAGCUCAUGCCUCUCCCUCAUAUAAAAUUACAAGAAUGAUUACCGGUACUUGUUAUCGAUUGCCUAGGGACAAAUGACUUUCUUGUUGACAAAAGCUAUCCACUUUUAUUACCUUGCAAUUUACUCGUAGUUUUAUUCUCGCAAAGUACUCGUAGUUUUAUUCUUGCAAAAUAGUUUCAUACUUGUUUUAGGUAAAGGAAACGUCAGGUGUGCGUAGAGUCGUUUCGGUGGUCGAUAGAACUUGAGGGAAUAUUUGUUCUACCUUUAGCUCCUCGUUGGGUUCAACACUCUUAUUUAUCAAAGAAGGCUACAAACGAUCCCUUAUACUUGUGGGUUAUCAAGACGUUUUUCUGGCGCCGUUGCCGGGGAGCAAUAGCGUGGGGUGAAUAUUCUUGUGUGUGCUUGUUUGGUUUAUCACUAAGUAGUUUUUAUUUUCUGUUCUAAGUUGUUAUCUAUCUUUAGUUAUAGAUAUGGACCAUGAAACACCAAAAAAAUUAGUUGUACUUGCUACUCAUGGAGAUGGGGGACCUCCUAAAACCCUCGAUACUCAUUAUGUGAAAGAUAUUAUGCACUAUUUUGAUAAUUCUGAGAAAACCCCAUUCAACUAUAUAAUGGGAGUAACGUUGGAUCAACGUGGAUACUUUAGGGAUUAUCGCUUGACUCAUAAAGGGAAAUUGUUAUGGGAUCAAAUUCAUAUGUUGCAUUGGUAUGCUCGGGACCUAUUCUUGAGAUAUGAUUAUACUUCUUGCUCUAGGAUGAAGGCUCCACACCUUCCCUUUACAUGUGAAUUUAACGAUAAUGAAACCUUAGCUUCUAAUGCUAAUGGUAGAUAUGAUUACUAUGAUGUGGAACAAAUAGAAUAAUUUGUUGCUUUUAAGGGUGCUUAUGAAAUUGAAUCUUUGUUUGAAAAGUUUGAAGAUUUUGAUGAUUCAGUUUAUAGACCUGAAAAUUUUGCUAUCCUUAAAUAUUGCUAUGAUAAUUAUAAAUUUAAUUACGAUAUUGAUGUAUUUAUUGAGAAAGUCUCCGCUUUCCAAGAAGAGACUGAUAUUUUGCAGGAGUCUAUGGAAGACGAAAUUGAUGAAACUGCGAGCUCAUUGGAUGAAAAAGAUGGUGAGGAGAGCGAAGAACAAAAGGAGGAAAAGCGGAUUAGCUACCCAUGCCCACCUUCUAAUGAGAGUAAACCUCCAACUCAUACAUUGUUUACUGUCCCUUCGUUCUUACCGAAGGAUGAAUGCUAUGAUAAUUGCUAUGAUCCCGUUGAUUCAUUUGAAAUAUCCCUUUCUGAUGAACUUGAUGCUUGUGGCCAUGAUGCCAAUAUGAAUUAUGCUUAUGGAGAUGAACUUGCUAUCGUUCCUUAUAUUAAGAAUGAAAUUGUUGCUAUUGCACCCACACAUGAUAGUGCUAUUAUCUUUUUGAAUUCUCCAAACUACACUAUAUCGGAGAAGUUUGCACUUAUUAAGGAUUACAUUGAUGGGUUGCCUUUUACCGUUGCACAUGAUGAUUUUGAUGAAUGUAAUAUGCAUGUGCUUGCUGAUCCUACUUGAAAUUAUUAUGAGAGAUGAACUACAUCUCCGCCUCUCUAUGUUUACAACACGAUAAAGUUGCAAGAAACUGCUUAUACUAUGCACUGGCCUUUACUUGAUGUGCACGAAUUGUUCCUUUAUGACAUGCCGAUGCAUAGGAAGAGAGUUAGACUUCGUCAUUGCAUGAUAUAUGUUGCUUUGUUCUCACUACAAAAUGCCAAAUCAUUGUUAAUUAAAAUUGGAUUUGAUAUACCUUGGGAUCCGGGUGGAUCCACCACUUGAGCUCUUUAUGCCUAGCUUAAUGGCUUUAAAGAAAGCGCUGUCAGGGAGACAACCCGGAAGUUUUAGAGAGUCAUUUAUUUCCGUUGAGUGCUUUUAUAAAGUUUAAAAACAAAAAAAAUAUAGAGGGGAACUUAAAACUUCACAAAAAGGAAAGUGAAAGUGACAGAGACGAGCAUUGUUGAAGUGGGGGAGCUCCUUGAACUUUGUUCAUGCCCAUGGAAACUUUGUGAAUCUCAACUACAGAAACUUGUCAAGAAAAAUAAUUAUCCCCUUGUACAAAUCCCUUGUAUUGUAAAAUUAUUGUGCCAAGGUUUGCCUUUAGGAUGAUUAGAUUGCUUGUUGGUAUGUGCGGUGCAGAAACAGAAACUUUGGCUGUAGCGCGUGAAUUUUCAUAUUUUACUGGAAUGUCAAAAGGUUCUGAAACUUUUUGCACACUAUUUCUAUAAAAAUUGUUUAUGUUGUCCUAAUUUUUCAGAAUUUUUGGAGUUACAGAAGUAUGGUAAUGUUCAGAUUACUACAGACUGUCCUGUUUAAGACAGAUUCUGUUUUUGAUGCAUUGUUUUGCUUGUUUUGAUGAAACUAUCGAUUUCUAUCAGUGGAUUAAGCCAUGAAAAAUUUAUAUUACAGUAGCUACAAUGCAAAAACAAAGUAUGAAUUGGUUUGCAACAGUACUUAGAGUAGUGAUUUGCUUUAUUAUACUAACGGAUCUUACCGAGCUUUCUGUUGAGUUUUGUGUGGGUGAAGUGAUCAAAGAUCGGGGAGGUCCCGAUAUGAGGAGAAGGAGGAGAGGAAAGAGCUCAAGCUUGGGGAUGCCCAAGGCACCCCAAGUAAAUAUUCAAGGAGACUCAAGCGUCUAAGCUUGGGGAUGCCCCGGAAGGCAUCCCAUCUUUCUUCAACAAGUAUCGGUAUGUUUUCGUUCUCGUUUCGUUCAUGUGAUAUGUGUGAAUCUUGGAGUGUCUUUUGUGUUUAUUUUUCACUUUUAUUUUAUGCACCAUGCUGGUAUGAGAUAGUCCAUGGUUGAUUUAUAGAAUGCUCAUUGCACUUUACUUAUAUCUUUUGAGUAUGGCUUUAUAGAAUGCUUCAGGUGCUUCACUUAUAUCAUUUGAAGUUUGGAUUGCCUGUUUCUCUUCAAAUAGAAAACCGUUGUUCGUAUAAUGCUCUUUUGCUUCACUUCUACUUGUUAGAGCAUGGUCUUUUGUAGAAAGAAUUAAACUCUCCUGCUUCACUUAUAUCUAUUUAGAGAGUCAACAGGAAUUGGUCAUUUGCAUGGUUAGUCAUGAAAUCCUACAUAAAACUGAUGGAUCACUGAAUAUGAUAUGCUUGAUUCCUUGCAAUAGUUUUGCGAUAUAGAGAUGGAAUAUGCGGGAGGUACUAGUAAACGGUUGUGGUUAGUAAUAAUAUUGGUGUUAAGGUUUGUGAUUCCCGAAGCAUGCACGUACAGUCUCUCAUUAUGCUAUGAUGUUGGAGCAUGAUUUAUUAUUGAUUGUCUUCCUUAUGAGUGGCGGUCGGGGACGAGCAAUGGUCUUUUCCUACCAAUCUAUCCCCCUAGGGGCAUGCGUAGUAGUACUUUGCUUCGAGGGCUAAUAAACUUUUGCAAUAACUAUGUGAGUUCUUUAUGACUAAUGUGAGUCCAUGGAUUAUACGCACUCUUACCUUUUCGCAAUUUGCUAGCCUCUACGGUACCGUGCAUUGCCCUUUCUCACCUCGAGAGUCGGUGCAAACUUCGCUGGUGCAUCCAAACCCCGUGAUAUGAUACGCUCUAUCACACAUAAGCCUUAUUAUAUCUUCCUCAAAACAGCCACCAUACCUACCUAUUAUGGCUUUUCCAUGGACAUUCCGAGAUAUAUUGCCAUGCAACUUCCACCGCUUCCAUUUUGAUGACCUGAGCAUUCAUUGUCAUAUUGCUUUGCAUGAUCAUAUACUGACAUAGUAGUUGUGGCUCAGCCACCAUUCAUCAUUUUUAUACAUGUUACGCUAGAUCAUUGCACAUCCUGGUACAUUGCCAGAGGCAUUCAUAUAGAGUCAUACUUUGUCAUAGGUAUCAAGUUGUAAUUUUUAUUUCUUUUGAGUUAUAAGUAAAUAGAAGUGUGAUGAUCAUCAUUAUUCAUUUUUAGAGCAGUGCCCCAGUGAGGAAAGGAUGAUGGAGACUAUGAUACCCCCACAAGUCGGGAUGAGACUCCGGACAAUGAGAGAAAAAGAAAAAGGAAAAAAGAAAAAAGAGAAAAAAGAAAGAAAGAAAAAGAAAGAAAAAAAAAGAAAAAAAAUAAACAAAGAGAGAAGGGGCAUUGUUAGUAUCCUUUACCACACUUGUGCUUCAAAGUAGCACCAUGUUUUUCAUAUUGAGAGUCUCCUAUGUUGUCACUUUCAUAUACUAGUGGGAAUUUUUCAUUAUAGGAUUAGAUGCACACCCACUUAGUUUCAUAUUGAGCUUUCAUACACUUAUAGCUCUUAGUGCAUUCGUUGCAUGGCAAUCCCUACUCCUCACGUUGAUAUCGAUUGAUGGACAUCUCCAUAGGCCGUUGGUUAGCCGGAUCGAUGUGAGACUUUCUUACUUUUUUGUCUUCUAUAUAUUUACCCCUAUCAUCAUACUCUAUUCCAGCCAUAGUGCUAUACCCAUGGCUUGCGCUCAUGUAUUGCGUGAGGGCUGAAAAAGCUGAAGCGCGUUAAAAAGUAUGAACCAAUUGCUCGGCUUGUCAUCGGGGUUGUGCAUGAAAAAUACUUUGUGUUAAGAAGACAGAGCAUGACAAGACUCUAUGAUUUUGUAGGGAUAACUUUCUUUAGCGUUGAUAUUUUGAAAGACAUGAUUGUUUGUUGGGAUGACUGAGUAUUGAUGUCUUUAUGUCAAAUUAUAGACUAUUGCUUUGAAUCACUAUGUCUUAAUAUUCAUGCCAUGAUUAGAUAUAUGAUCAAGUUUAUGUUAGAGAGCAUUCCACAUAAAAAAUUAUCUUUUUUUUGUCAUUUACCUACUCGAGGACGAGCAGGAAUUAAGCUUGGGGAUGCUGAUACGUCUCCAUCAUAUCUAUAUUUUUUGUUUUUUCAUGCCAAUAUUAUACAACUUUCACAUAUUUUGGCAACUUUUUAUAUGAUUUAUUGUACUAACUUAUUGAUCCAGUGCCCAGUGCGAGUUCCUGUUUUUUGCAUGUUUUUUGUAUCGCAGAAUAUCCAUAUCAAACUAAGUCCAAAUGCAAUAAAAUUUUACGGAGAAUUAUUUUGGAAUAUUUGUGAUAUUUGGGAGCUGGAAUCACCGCAAACGGAGGCCCACACAGCCCACAAGACACCAGGGCGCGACUCUGGAGCCAGGCGCGUGGUGGUGGGUUGUGCUCACCUCGUACGUCGGUUGGAGCUCUACUUCGGGCGCAAGGAAGCUUAUAUCCUAAUAAAAUCAUGUUAAAAUCUCAGCGCAAUUGGAGUUACGGAUCUCCGGGAAUAUAAGAAACGGUUUUCGGCAGAUCUGAAGAACGCGAAACAGAAGGGAACAGAGAGAUAGAUCCAAUCUCGGAGGGGCUCCCGCCCCUCCGUCGCCAUGGAGGCCAUGGACCAGAGGGGGAACUCUCCUCCCGUCUAGGGGGAGGCCAAGGAAGAAGAAGAAGGAGGGGGGGCUCUCUCCCCCUCUCUCCCGGUGGUGCCGAAACGCCGUUGGGGCAAGGAUCGUGACGGCGAUCUACAUCAACAAUCUUGCUACCGUCAACACCAACUUUCUCCCCUCUAUGCAGCGGUGUAACCUCUCUUCUCCCCGCUACAAUAUCUACUUAAACAUGGCGCUCAACUCCAUAUAUUAUUUCCCAAUGAUAUGUGGUUAUCCUAUGAUGUUUGAGUAGAUCUGUUUUGUCCUGUGGGUUAAUCAUGAUCUUGGUUGGUAUGAUUGUAUAUUUUAUUUAUGAUGCUGUCCUACGGUGCCCUCCGUCUCGCGCAAACGGAGGGAUCCUCGUUGUAGGGUGUUGCAAUACGUUCAUGAUUCGCUUAUGGUGGGUUGCGAGAGUGACAGAAGCUUAAACCCGAAUAGGUGGGUUGUUGCGUAUGGGAUAAAGAGGACUUGAUACUUAAUGAUAUGGUUGGGUUUCACGACCUUAAUGAUCUUUAGUAGUUGCGGAUGCUUUCUAGGGGUCCAAUCAUAAGUGCAUAUGAUCCAAGUAGAGAAAGUAUGUUAGCUCAUGCCUCUCCCUCAUAUAAAAUUACAAGAAUGAUUACCGGUACUUGUUAUCGAUUGCCUAGGGACAAAUGACUUUCUUGUUUACAAAAGCUAUCCACUUUUAUUACCUUGCAAUUUACUUGUAGUUUUAUUCUCGCAAAGUACUCAUAGUUUUAUUCUUGCAAAAUAGUUUCAUACUUGUUUUAGGUAAAGCAAACGUCAAGUGUGCGCAGAGUUGUAUCGGUGGUCGAUAGAACUUGAGGGAAUAUUUGUUCUACUUUUAGCUCCUCGUUGGGUUCGACACUCUUAUUUAUCGAAGAAGGCUACAAACGAUCCGCUAUACUUGUGGGUUAUCAUUGAAACACCACGUGAUGAUCGGGUGUGAUAGACUCUACGUUCACAUACAACGGGUGCAAGACAAUUUUGCACAUACGGAAUACUUGGGUUAAACUUGACAAGCCUUGCAUGUACAGACAUGGCCUCAGAACAUUGGAGACCGAAAGGUCAAACGUGAAUCAUAUAGUAGAUAUGAUCAACAUAGAGAUGUUCACCAUUGAUGACUACCCCAUCUCACGUGAUGAUCGGACAUGGGUUGUUGAUUUGGAUCACAUAUCACUUAGAUGACUUGAGGGAUGUCUAUUUAAGUGGGAGUUCUUAAGUAAUAUGAUUAAUUGAACUUAAUUUAUCAUGAACUUAGUCCUGAUAGUAUUUGCAAAUCUAUGUUGUAGAUCAAUGGCUCGCGAUGUAGUUCCCCUAUAUUUUUUAUAUGUUCCUAGAGAAAACUAAGUUGAAAGACGUUAGUAGCAAUGAUGCGGACUGGGUCUGUGAUCUUAGGAUUAUCCUCAAUACUGCACAGAAGAAUUAUGUCCUUGAUGCACCGCUGGGGGAAAGACCUGUUGCAGGAGCAGAUGUUGAUGUUAUGAAUGUUUGGCAAGCUCGAUAUGAUGACUACUUGAUAGUUUAGUGCGCCAUGAUUUACGGCUUAGAACCGGGACUUCAAAAACAUUUUGAACGCCACGGAGCAUAUGAGAUGUUCCAAGAGAUGAAAAUUGGUAUUUCAGAUUCAUGCCCAUGUCGAGAGGUAUGAGACCUCUGACAAGUACUAUGCCUACAAUCGCUUGAAUCAAGUGGGAGUUAAUCUUCUAGAUAAGAUAGUGAUUGACAGAGUUCUCUAGUCACUAUCACUAAGCUACUAGAACUUAGUGAUGAACUAUAAUAUGCAAGGGAUGACAAAAACGAUUCCCGAGCUCUUCGCGAUGCUGAAAUCGGCGAAGGUAGAAAUCAAGAAAGAGCAUCAAGUGUUGAUAUUUAACAAGACCACUAGUUUCAAGAAAAAAGGGCAAGGGAAAGAAAGGGAACUUCAAGAAGAAUGGCAAGCAAGUUGCCGCUCCCAUGAAGAAGCCUAAAGCUGGACCCAAGCCUAAAACUGAGUGCCUCUACUGCAAAGGAAAUAGUCACUGGAAGCAGAACUACCCCAAAUACUUGGAGGAUAAGAAGGAUGGCAAAGUGAACAAAGGUAUAUUUGAUAUACAUGUUACUGAUGUGUACCUUACUAGUGUUCGUAGUAGCCCCUGGGUAUUUGAUACCGGUUCAGUUGCUAAGAUUACUAACUCGAAACAGGAGUUGCAGAAUAAACAGAGACUAGUUAAGGGUGAGGUGACGAUGUGUGUUGGAAGUGAUUGCAAGGUUGAUACGAUCACCAUCGCACACUCCCUCUACCUUCGGGAUUAGUGUUGAGCCUAAAUAAAUGUUAUUUGGUGUUUGCAUUGAGCAUGAAUAUGAUUUGAUCAUGUUUAUUGCAAUACAGUUAUUCAUUUAAGUCAGAGAAUAAUUGUUGUUCUGUUUACAUGAAUAAAACCUUCUAUGGCCAUACACCAAAUGUGAAUGAUUUAUUGAAUCUCGAUCGUAGUGAUACACAUAUUCAAAAUAUUGAUGCCAAAAGAUGCAAAGCUGAUAAUGAUAGUGCAACAUACUUGUGGCAUUGCUGUUUAGGUCAUAUUGGUGUAACGCGCAUGAAGAAACUCCAUGCGGAUGGACUUUUGGAAUCACUUGAUUAUGAAUCAUUUGAUACUUGCGAACCAUGCCUCAUGGGCAAGAUGACUAAAACUCCAUUCUCCAGAACAAUGGAGCGAGCUAAUGACUUAUUGGAAAUAAUACAUACCGAUGUAUGCGGUCCGAUGUGUAUUGAAGCAUGCGGCGGGUAUCAUUAUUUUCUGACCUUCACAGAUGAUUUUAGCAGAUAUGGGUAUAUCUGCUUAAUGAAACACAAGUCUAAAACAUUUGAAAAGUUCAAAGAAUUUCAGAGUGAAGUGGAGAAUCAUCGUAACAAGAAAAUAAAGUUUCUAUGAUCUGAUCACAGAGGCAAAUAUUUGAGUUACGAGUUUGGCCUUCAUUUAAAACAAUGUGGAAUAGUUUCACAACUCACGCCACCUGGAACACCACAUUGUAAUGGUGUGUCCGAACGUCAUAAUCGUACUUUAUUAGAUAUGGUGCGAUAUAUGAUGUCUCUUACCAAUUUACCACUAUCAUUUUGGGGUUAUGCAUUAGAGACAGCCGCAUUCACGUUAAAUAGGGCACCAUCUAAAUCCGUUGAGACGACAUCGUAUGAACUGUGGUUUGGAAAGAAACCUAAGCUGUUGUUUCUUAAAAGUUUGGGGAUGCGACGCUUGUGUCAAAAGGCUUCAGCCUGAUAAGCUCGAACCCAAAUCGAAGAACUGUGUCUUCAUAGGAUACCCUAAGGAAACAAUUGGGUACACCUUCUACCAGAGAUCCGAAGGCAAGAUCUUUGUUGCCAAGAAUGGAACAUUUUUAGAGAAGGAGUUUCUCUCGAAAGAAGUGAGUGGGAGGAAAGUAGAACUUGAUGAGGUAAUUGUACCUUCUCUCGAAUUGGAAAGUAGCACAUCAGAGAAAUCCAUUCUCGUGAUGCCUACACCAACUAGAGAGGAAGCUAAUGAUGAUCAUGAAACUUCAGAUCAAGUUACUACUGGACCUCGUAGGUCAAAUAGAGCAUGUUCCACACCAGAGUGGUACGGUAAUCCUGUUCUGGAAGUUAUGUUACUAGACCAUAGCGACCCUAUGAACUAUGAAGAAGCUACGAUGAGCCCAGAUUCCGAUAAAUGGCUUGAGGCCGUGAAAUCUGAGAUAGGAUCCAUGUAUGAGAACAAAGUGUGGACUUUGGUGGACUUGCCCGAUGAUCGGCGAGCCAAAGAGAAUAAAUGGAUCUUCAAGAAGAAGACUGACGCUGAUGGUAAUGUUACUGUCUACAAAGCUCGACUUGUCACCAAAGGUUUUCGACAAGUUCAAGGAGUUGACUACGAUGAGACCUUCUCACCUAUAGUGAUGCUUAAGUCUGUCCGAAUCAUGUUAGCAAUUGCCGCAUUUUAUAAAAUAUGGCAAAUGGAUGUCAAAACUGCAUUCCUUAAUGGAUUUCUUAAAGAAGAGUUGUAUAUGAUGCAACCAGAACGAUUUGUCGAUCCUAAAGGUGCUAACAAAGUGUGCAAGCUCCAGCGAUCCAUCUAUGGACUGGUGCAAGCAUCUCGGAGUUGGAAUAUAUGCUUUGAUGAGGUGAUCAAAGUAUAUGGUUUUAUACAGACUUUUGAUGAAGCCUGUAUUUAAAAGAAAGUGAGUGGGAGCUCUGUAGAAUUUCUGAUAUUAUAUGUGGAUGACAUAUUGCUGAUCGGAAAUAAUAUAAAAAUUCUGGAUAGCAUAAAAGGAUACUUGAAUAAGAUUUUUUCAAUGAAAGACCUCGGUGAAUCUGCUUACAUAUUAGGCAUCAAGAUCUAUAGAGAUAGAUCAAGACGCUUGAUAAGAUUUUCAGUGAGUACAUACCUUGACAGGUUUUUGAAGGAGUUCAAAAUGGAUUAGUCAAAGAAGGAGUUCUAGCCUGUAUUGUAAGGUGUGAAGUUGAGUAAGAAUCAAAGCCCGACCAUGGCAGAAGAUAGAGAGAGAGUGAAGGUCAUUCCCUAUGCCUCAGCCAUAGGUUCUAUAAAGUUUGCCAUGCUGUGUACCAGACCUAUUAUGUACCUUGCCAUGAGUUUGGCAACGGGGUACAAUAGUGAUCUAGGAGUAGAUCACUGGACAGCGAUCAAAAUUAUCCUUAGAGAACUAAGGAAAUAUUUUCUCGGUUAUGGAGGUGAUAAAGAGUUCGUCGUAAAGGGUUACGUUGAUGCAAGCUUUGACACCGAUUCAGAUGACUAUGAGUCUCAAUCUGGAUACAUAUUGAAAGUGGGAGCAAUUAGCUAGAGUAGCUCAAUGCAGAGCAUUGUAGACAUAGAAACUUGCAAAAUACAUAUGGAUCUGAAUGUGGCAGACCCGUUGACUAAACCUCUCUCACAAGCAAAACAUGAUCACACCUUAGUACUCUUUGGGUGUUAAUCACAGGGCGAUGUGAACUAGAUUAUUGACUCUAGUAAACUCUUUGGGUGUUAGUCACAUGGCGAUGUGAACUAUGGGUGUUAAUUACAUGAUGAUGUGAAUUAGAUUAUUGACUCUAGUGCAAGUGGGAGACUGAAGGAAAUAUGCCCUAUAGGCAAUAAUGAAGUUGUUAUUUUAUAUUUCCUUAUUCAUGAUAAAGGUUUAUUAUUCAAGCUAGAAUUGUAUUGAUCGGAAACCUUAAUACAUGUGUGAAUACAUAAACAAACACAGUGUCCGUAGUGAGUCUCUACUAGACUAGCUCGUUGAUCAAAGAUAGUUAAGGUUUCCUAACCAUUGACAUGAGUUGUCAUUUGAUAACGGGAUCACAUCAUUAGGAGAAUGAUGUGAUGGACAAGACCCAUCCGUUAGCUUAGCAUUAUGAUCGUUAAGUUUUAUUGCUAUUGCUUUCUUCAUGUCAAAUACAUACUCCUUCAACUAUGAGAUUAUGCAACUCCCGGAUACCAAAGGAAUGCCUUAUGUGCUAUAAAACGUCACAACGUAACUGGGUGAUUAUAAAGAUGCUCUACAUGUAUCUCCGAAGGUGUUUGUUGAGUUGGCAUAGAUUGAGAUUAGGAUUUGUCACUCCGAGUAUCAGAGAGGUAUCUCUGGGCCCUCUCAGUAAUACACAUCAUAAGCUUGCAAGAAAACGAAGGAGUUACUCAUGAGGUUAUGUAUUACGGAAUGACUAAAGAGACUCUGUAACGAGAUUGAGCUAGGUAUGAAGAUACCGACGAUCGAAUCUCGGGCAAGUAACAUACCGAUAAACAAAUGGAAUAACGUGUAUUGUCAUAACAGUUCGACCGGUAAAGAUCUUCGUAGAAUAUGUAGGAGCCAAUAUGUGCAUCCAGGUUUCGCUAUUGGUUAUUGACCGGGGAGGUGUCUCGGUCAUGUCUACAUAGUUCUCGAACCCGUAGGGUCUGCACGCUUAACGUUCGACGACGAUAUUGUAUUAUAUGAGUUAUGUGAUUUGGUGACCGAAUGUUGUUCGGAGUCCCGGAUGAGAUUGUAGACAUGAUGAGGAGUCUCGAAAUGGUCGAUAGGUAAAGAUUGAUAUAUAGGACGAUAGUAUUCGGACACCGGAAGUGUUCCGGAGGGUACCGGGUACAUAUCGGGUCACCGGAAGGGGUUCCGGGCACCCCCGGCAAAAGAUAUGGGCCUAAUGGGCCAAGAGGGGAAACACACCAUCCACCAGGGGCUGGUGCUGUGGGGAGACCCCAAGUAGGAUUCGGCCUACUUGGGAGCCUCCUUGGCUGCCUCCGUCUAACUGAAGGAAAUAUGCCCUAGAGGCAAUAAUGAAGUUGUUAUUUUAUAUGUCCUUAUUCAUGAUAAAAGUUUAUUAUUCAUGCUAGAAUUGUAUUGAUCGGAAACCUUAAUACAUGUGUGAAUACAUAAACAAACACCGUGUCCCUACUGAGCCUCUACUAGAUUAGCUCGUUGAUCAAAGAUGGUUAAGGUUUCCUAACCAUUGACAUGAGUUGUCAUUUGAUAACGGGAUCAUAUCAUUAGGAGAAUGAUGUGAUGGACAAGACCCAUCCGUUAGCUUAGCAUUAUGAUCGUUAAGUUUUAUCGCUAUUGCUUUCUUCAUGUCAAAUACAUAUUCCUUCGACUAUGAGAUUAUGCAACUCCCGGAUACCAGAGGAAUGCCUUGUGUGCUAUCAAAACAUCACAACGUAACUAGGUGAUUAUAAAGAUGCUCUACAGGUAUCUCCGAAGGUGUUUGUUGAGUUGGCAUAGAUCGAGAUUAGGAUUUGUCACUCCGAGUAUGGGAGAGAUAUCUUUGGGCCCUCUUGGUAAUACACAUCAUAAGCUUGCAAGCAAACGACUAAGGAGUUAGUCACGAGGUAAUGUAUUACCGAACAAGUAAAGAUACCUGCCGGUAACGAGAUUGAACUAGGUAUGAAGAUACCGACGAUCAAAUCUCGGGCAAGUAACAUACCGACAGACAAAGGGAAUAACGUAUAUUGUCAUAACGGUUCGACCGGUAAAGAUCUUCAUAGAAUAUGUAGGAGCCAAUACGGGCAUCCAGGUUCCGCUAUUGGUUAUUGACCGAAGAGGUGUCUCGGUCAUGUCUACAUAGUUCUCGAACCCGUAGGGUCCAAACACUUAACGUUCGAUGACGAUAUUGUAUUAUAUGAGUUAUGUUGACCGAAUGUUGUUCAGAGUCCCGGAUGAGAUCACAGACAUGACGAGGAGUCUCGAAAUGGUUGAGAAAUAAAGAUUGAUAUAUAGGACGAUAGUAUUCGGACACCGAAAGUGUUCUGGAGGGUACCGGGUACAUAUCGGGUCACCGGAAGGGGUUCCGGGCACCCCCGGCAAAAGAUAUGGGCCUAAUGGGCCAAGAGGGGAAACGCACCAGCCACCAAGGGCUGGUGCUGUGGGGAGACCCCAAGUAGGAUUGGGCCUACUUGGGAGCCUCCUUGGCUGCCUCCGUUCUCCCUCCCACCUAUAUAUAUAUGUGUGUGUGUGGGGGUGCCCCUAGCACACACGAGACAAUUGUUAGCCGUGUGCGGCGCCGCCCUCCACCGUUUACUCCCACGGUCAUAUCUUCGUAGUGGUUAGGCGAAGCCCUACGAGGAUCACUUCACCAUCACCGUCACCACGCCGUCGUGCUGACGAAACUCAUCUACUACCUCGACGUCUUGCUGGAUCAAGAAGGCGAGGGACGUCACCGAGCUGAACGUGUGCAGAACGUGGAGGUGUCGUGCGUUCGGUACUUGAUCGGUUGAAGCGUGAAGAAGUUCGACUACAUCAACCGCGUUGAGAAACGCUUCCGCUUACGAUCUACGAGGGUACGUAGACACACUCUCUCCCUCGUUGCUAUGCAUCUCCAUGGAUAGAUCAUUGCGUGUGUGUAGAUUUUUUUUGUUUUUCAUGCAAUGUUUCCCAACACUAACAUGCUGCUCCUACUCCAAAAAGAGACAUUAACUUCACCAAUUUGGUUGAUGAAGCACAAUUCUUUGUCCAACCUUCCCAGUGGCGGAGACAUCCCCAGGCAGUCCGGGCCGUUGCUUGAGGCACAGUUCAUUCGUUAUAUGUAGCUAGAGUACUACGUAAAUGAAGGCGGUUUGUGCCUUGAUCCAAUGCUAAUGCCGCCACUGAGCCUUCCUAGGCACUUUAUUCAGCCCAAGGAUAGAGCAAGAUGCGACUUCCCUUCAUUCUCCAAUAAGCUACCCACAAGAUAAUAUAGGCCAUUCGUUCCUCCUAAUCGAAUGGUUAAUAUUGACUGGUACUCCACUUUUUUUGAACACAUUAUAGAUACUUCACUUCUAGUGUUAGAGAGUACCACAACUAAAUAUAAUGGAGUACCAUGACCAAAAUGUUAAAAUGGUAAUUCGGAAUAUAUGUCUCUGUGUAUAUUUUUCAAUGGCCAUGGUGGCGUCUAAUUUCCUAAACCCUAGAUUCACGUUGAAAGGAUCGAUAUAGUUGACUAGAGGGGGGGGGGGGUGAAUAGGGAACUAAUUUUUUAGCUUUUCUUUACCAAUUUAAACUUUGCAUCAAAGUAGGUUGCCUAGAUAUGCAACUAGGUGAGCAACCUAUAUGAUGCAACAACAACAAGCACACAAGCAAGCAAGGGAUACAACACAAUAUAAGCUUGCACAAGUAAAGGUAAGAGAUAACCAAAAGUGGAGCCGGUGGAGAUGAGGAUGUGUUACCGAAGUCCCUUCCCUUUGAGGGAAGUAAAUCUCCGUUGGAGCGGUGUAGAGGCACAAUGCUCCCCAAGAAGCCACUAGGGCCACCGUAUUCUCCUCACGCCCUCACACAAUGCGAGAUGCCGUGAUUCCACUAUUGGUGCCCUUGGAGGCGGAGAUCGAACCUUUACAAACAAGGUUGGGGCUAUCUCCACAACUCAAUUGGAGGCUCCCAACAAUACCACAGAGCUUCACCACAAUGGAAUGUGGCUCCGAGGUGUCCUCAACCAUCUAGGGUUCUCAAACACCCAAGAGUAACAAGAUCCGUGAAGGAUUAGUGGGGGGAAUCAAAUUUCUCUUGGUGGAAGUGUAGAUCCGGGCCUUCUCAAUCAAUCCCUAAAGAAUCAACAAGUUUGAUUGGCUAGGGAGAGAGAUCGGGCAAAAAUGAGCUUUGGAGCAACAAUGGAGCUUGGGGGAAAAAGAGGUAGGUCAACUUGGAGAAGAAGUCCUCCUUUUAUAGUGGGGGAUCCAAUCCAACCGUUACCCCCCUCUUCAGCCCGCACACAGCGGUACUACCGCAUAGACUGAGAGUAGAAGAAGUAGAGGGAGAACGAGAGAGAGAGAGAGGGGGUAUGGGCGACAUUAGUAGCGGUGGUAGCCGCGGUACUACCGCUCAUGUGCGGUACUACCGCUGCCACUGCCGCUACUACUGCCGCACAACCCGGCACGAGAAGAUACAUCCUCGAAUCAAGGCGGUAGCGUUGCCGAACCAGGACGGUACUGCCGCCUAUGCCCCGGAGCGGUACUACCGCUAUGGGAUAGCGAUACUGCCGCUUGAGGACCAUAGGCGGUACUACCGCUCUGGUGGCGGUACUACCGCUUUCUCCUCACAGUCUCCACUUCUGUUAAAACAACAAACUCCAAGGAGAGGAAAGGAGCUGGGGGUGCAACAAAGACGUGUACGUGUUGAUUCCACCAUGGCCUUUCCAUUGCGGACCCCCUCUUGAUAGUAUGGUGUCUCCUACGACUCAAGUCCACCAAACCAAAACGAAAGAGACUACACCGUCUUCACAUAAAGCUCCGAGUGGAAAGAAUCGUCUCAUGCCAAAGAAUGAAUCUCUAAAAUACUCAACGCACAUGAUUAGUCCGCAAAAGCAUUGUCAUCAAUCACCAAAACUACUUAGAGAGAGAUAUGCCCUAACAAUCUCCCCCUUUUUGGUGGAUUGAUGACAACACGGGAUUUGCACAAGGUAAUGACAUGAGAUUAAGCGAAUCCCAAAACUACAAAAUAUAGACGGUCUCCCCCCAGAUGUUUGCACUUAAAUAGAGGUGCCUUUGGAUUGCAAAGUGCACACAUUAGGAUCAACACCCCCCUAUAUCUUAUAGUCUGACAACAAUUGCAUCAAAGAUAAGACAUAUAUGAGCUAGGAUGCAAUAGAGAGGCAAGUGACCAAAGUAGACAUAUGAGAUAAGCAUGAACUCACAAACUACUAAAGUAAUUGACAUACAAGAUAAUAAUAAGAUAGGGUAGCAUAUGUCUCACACCAUAUGAUAGGGUACCGGGUCUCACGAGCACAAACCAAACCAAAGCAAAUAACAGAGUUUGCGAGAGAGAGAAGACCAGGAAAAUAAGACACUCACAACUCGACAACGACAAUCCCUAAACUCUCUACCCCUUUGGCAUCGGGACACCAAAAAGGGCACAGAGUGCUGCUACGGCCACAAGUGAUAGCAGAACUGAAGAACUCCAGCAUCACAUCCCCGCGUGAUCGUCUGCUCCUCCGUCAUCCGCAGGGGGCUGCUCAGUGUCAUGAUGGUGGGCAGUGCUGCUGAACUCACUCCUCCUCAUCUGUGAUCUUGCCCUCAGGACCGCUGGCAACUGUUGAAUCUAACUGACGCAUGAGCUCCUUGUGAUGGCUCCUGGCCUUCUUCUCAAACACGUGAGCCAUGUACUGUUGAUAACCCACAAGUAUAGGGGAUCGCAAUAGUUUUCGAGGGUAGAGUAUUCAACCCAAAUUUAUAGAUUCGACAAAAGGGGAGCCAAAGAAUAUUUGAAGGUAUUAGCAGCUGAGUUGUCAAUUCAACCACACCUGGAGAUUAACUAUCUGCAGCAAAGUGAUCAGUAGCAAAGUAGUUUGAUAGUUUUGAUAAUAGUAACAGUAGCAACAGUAAUGGUAACAGUGAUAGCAGUAAUUUUAUAGCAAGUGUAACAGUGAUGAUAGCAGUAGUAACUUAGCAGAAACAAUAUAAGAUAAAUUCGUAGGCAUUAGAUCGGUGACUUGUUGGAUGAUAUUCCUCAUGAGACAGUUAUAACCCAGGGCGCUACGACACUAGCUCCAGUUCAUCAAUAUAAUGUAGGCAUGUAUUCCGUAAAUAGUCAUACGUGCUUAUGGAAAGAACUUGCAUGACAUCUUUUGUCCUACCCUCCCGUGGCAGCGGGGUCCAUAUUGGGAACUAAGGGAUAUUAAGGCCUCCUUUUAAUAGAGAACCGGAACAAAGCAUUAACACAUAGUGAAUACAUGAACUCCUCAAACUACGGUCAUCACCAGAAGAAGUCCCGGUUUCUGUCACUCCGGGGUUACCGGAUCAUAACACAUAGUAGGUGACUAUAACUUGCAAGAUCGGAUCUAAAACAUGGAUAUAAUUAUGAUAACAUAAACGGUUCAGAUCUGAGUUCAUGGCACCCGGGCCCAAAGUGAUAAGCAUUAAGCCUGGCAAAGUCAUAGCAACAUCAAUCUUAGAACAAAGUGGAUACUAGGGAUCAAGCCCUAACAAAACUAACUCAAUUACAUGAUGAAUCUCAUCCAACUCCUCACCAACCAGCGAGCCUACGAAAGAAUUACUCGCUCCCGGUGGGGAGCAUCAUGGAAUUGGCGAUGGAGAAGGGUUGGUGAUGAUGAAGAACGAAGAUCCCCCUCUCGGAAGCCCCAAACGGACUCCAAAUCUGGCCUCCCGGUGAAGAAAAGGAGGUGACGGCGGCUCUGUCUCGUGGAUCGUGAUAAUUCUUUCUCCCUGAUUUUUUCUGGAAAAAUGGGAUUUUAUAGAAUCGGUUUCAGGGUCUGUGGGGCCACCAGGUGGGGACAACCCACCUGGUCGCGCCAGGAGAGGGGGCGCACCCUGGUGGGUUGUGCCCACCCAGGGGCCCCUCUCCGGUAGGUCUUGGCUCCAGAAAUUCUUAUUUAUUAUAUAAAAAUUCCUCGCGAAGUUUCGUUCCAUUCCGAGAACUUUUAUUUCUGCACAAAAACAACACCAUGGUAGUUCUGCUGAAAACAACGUCAAUCCGGGGUUAGUUUCAUUCAAAUCAUGCAAAUUCGAGUCCAAAACAAGAGGAAAAGCGUUAGCAAAAGUAGAUACGUUGGAGACGUAUCAACUCCCCCAAGCUUAAACCUUUGCUUGUCCUCAAGCAAUUUAGUUGAUAAACUGAAAGUGAAAAAGAAAAACUUUUACGAACUCUUUUGCUCUUGUUUGCAUAAAUAAGCUUAAACAGCACCCAGGUUUUCAGCCAACAUUAUAACUAACCAUGCCGACAAUAACUCUUAAAAAUUAUAUUAACUCAUAUCAAUGACAUAAUCAGCUAGCGAGCAAUAACAAGAUAUCUCAAACAGCAACACGUUGUCAAAACAACCAUGAUAUAAUAUGACAAUAGUGGUUUCUCGCUAGCCCUUUCUGAAACCGCAAAAGAUAAAUGCAGAGCACCUCCAAAGUUCAAGUGGCGACUAAACAUUAUAAUUCAUGGUAGAAAAGAUCCAGUCAUGAUGCACCCAACAUUAGCUACACACAAUGCAUAAGUCAUGACAGCUGUGCUCUUAGGUUCUAGCGCUUGUUUUAGGAGGUGAUGACACAAUAUAAAAGUAAAUAGAUAGUCCCUUCGCAGAGGGAAGCAGUGAUUUGCAGAGGUGCCAGAGCUCAAGUUUUUAGAACAGAGGUAAAUGAUAUUUUGGGACAGGCACCCUUCUCAUUCACUUCACGACCACCAGUUAUCAAUAUCUCCCAUGCUAAGCAUGCUAGUGGCGGUUCCCAAGCGAUAAAAGUAAAGGUUUUGACUCCACUGGGAGUUUUUGUUUGAUUAUUUAAGAGAUUAACUCUUUUUCAGUUUGCAGUUUGGGACUGGGCAUCCCUAUUACCGCCCUUUUCUCGUGCGAUGGCGAGUGAAUAAACACUCGACCUGAGAAUAACCCGCUUAGCAUGGAAGAUACCGACCACCUCCUGUCGUUCCAUGAACGAUCCAGGCACACAAAAAUGAUAUUUAUUUAGGAGUUUUUAGAGGUGGCACAUGCAAAUUUACUUAGGACGGUAGGGUAAUACCGUAUAUAGGUAGGUAUGGUGGACUCAUCUGGAAUAACUUUGGGUUCAAGGUUUUUGAUGUACAAGCAGAAUUCCCACUUAGUACAGGCGAAGGCUAGCAAUUAGAUUGAGAAGCGGCCAGCUAGAGAGCAACGACGAUCAUAACCAUGCAUCAUGCAUAAGUAACAUUGGACACUAGCAUGAGUAGGAUAUGAACACCAUGAACAUAAAUAUCAUAGAGGCUAUGUUGGUUUUGAUUCAACUACAUGCAUGAACAUGUGCCAAGUUAAGCCACUUGAACAUUCAGAGGAGGAUACCAUAUCAUCAUACUACAUCACAAUAAUUUUAACGCAAUGUUGAUAUCCAAGAUAAAUCAUUAUCCACUCCUAGCUACUUAUGGAUGGCAUGAGAAACUAUAAUCUCUAAUUGUCAUUGCAAACAUGUUUAAUCAUAAUGGGCUGAAUCAUGGAUACUAGGCUAAACAUAUUUACACAAACAGAACAAGUCGAGUUCAUACCAGUUUCUCUCUACCACAACCAGUUCAUCGAAUAUCGUCAUUAUUGCCUUUCACUUGCACGACCGAACGAUAUGAAAAUAAUAAUAGUGCAAGAGUGCCGUGGACUAAGAUGGAAUCUGCAAACAUUUUAUUCAACAGGAGAAGACAAGGUAAAAUGGGCUCUUUAUUAGAUUAACAUUUAUUCAUAUGAGAGCCACUCAACAUUUUCAUCGUGGUCUUCUCCUCGGUAAGACUCGAAUAAAAAGGAAAGAAAUUCAGAGAAACACACUUGAAAUAUUUUUGGAGUUUUUGGUUUUCUUGAACAAGGAAAUAAAAGGGAAAAGCAAAAACGAGAAAAACUAUUUACACGGGAAAGCUCCCAACAAGCAAAAGAAGAAUAAGGAAAUCUUUUUGGGUUUUCUUUUUAAUAUUACUACUAAGCAUGCAAAGAAAGUAAACUACUACAACUAAUUUUUUUGUUUUUCUAAAGUUUUUCAAACACAAGAAGAAAGCAAGAAAAUAAAUCUAAACAUGGAUAAUACAAUGAAAAAGUGUAAACACCGACAAAUGAAAGUAAGUGGACAUGAAUGUAAUGUCGGUGAGAACACGUACUCCCCCAAGCUUAGGCUUUUGGCCUAACUUGGUAGUCGAUCAGUAGCCUGGAUGGUAGUAGGGGUGCUGAGGAGCGGGCAUCCACUCAUCCCACUACUGAGGCUCCUCCUCUGCCUCUGCAGAAGCCUGAGCGUUCCGGUAGGCGAUGAUGUCCGCAUGCAUAAUCCUAUAUCCGCCCCUGGCAACAGAAUCAAGCAAAGCAGGUGUAGGCAAUGGAAUAAUAUCAUGAGUUUUAACGCUAAAAACCAGGUUAUAAGGAAUAGGGAUAUUAGGAUAGUCUCAUGCAAGAAAAUGAUGGUGUUCCAUGGCCGCGCGGUCUAAGUAAACCUUGGUCAGAGGGUAAUCAUGAGGGCGUAUCUCAACAUUAAAGUGGGCCGCCAACUGAGUAGCAAAAAUCCCACCAUGUAUUUUACCCUGGGAUUUAUUAAGAUGGAGGCGACGAGCCACAAUAGCUCCCAAGCUAUAAGUGUCGUCGCCCUCUAAUGCACGACGUAAAACAGCAAAGUCUGGUGCACUGAGCGCACCUACUUUCUCUCUAGCAACCAAACACUUAGCAACAAAUAAAGCAAAAUAAUGUACGGCAGGAAAGUGUAUGCUAGCGGCAGUGGUAGCUGACACCCCUCUCUCAUCUCCCACUGUCAAAGUGCGAUAAAAGACCUCAAACCCAGCCGGCAUAGGCUCGGCUAAGCUGCCAUCAGAAGGGAUCAUGCAUAUGUCACAAAAUUCAGUAAGUGGUAUCUGAUGGUUUUCAGCAUAUAAAUCAAAGUUCACUUCACGAGGAUUAUUCCUAGGCAGGAAAGUAAAACUGUGAACAAAGAUGUUUGUGAGGAUUUGAUGCUGGUCACACUCAUCUGGAAGUCGAGGUUGGCAUUAGCAACAUAUUGUGUGAACUCUUGAAGGAUUCCAGCCUCUUCCAGGAAUGGGGUAUGCGGCCAUUCACACGGCCGUACUUCCGCCAAUCUCCGAGGAUGGAGAUCACUAUCAGAUGAUUCCCCAAUAACACCCUUGGAGUUCUUCUUAGAGCCAAACUUCCUAAAAAUAUUCAUGGUUUUCCUAUGAACAAAAUUCUGAAAUUUGUUAGCCCACAAAAUUUUCUCAACAAAACUUCACAAAAAUGAUACCAACUACUCAUAGGGAUACAUAGAGGCCAUGGCAACCAUUCAAACUACUUAGAACUCUAAUAAUUCAACAUGCAAGCUCAUCUGCAGCAGCGCCAAGAGUGGCUAAUUAUUCAAAAUAUAAACCACUAAAAAAACUAAUUGGACAAACAGUGGAGUCACAUACCAAGCAACAAUCCCCCGAAACAGUUUCAGAAGCGGAGCUUCGAGCAAAGAGAUCGAAAUUCACGGGUUUGAGAGCAAGAACACGGGAGAGAGAGCAAUGGAGAUUUUUUCUAGAGGUAAGUGAUGAUGUGGGAUGAAGAGGUAAGUGAGGGGGGCCACGUGGGGACCACAACCUACCAGGGCGCUCCUGGGGGUCCUGGCGUGCCCAGGUGGGUUGUGCCCACCUGGUGCACCUCCCUCUGAUAUUAUUUGCUCCAGAAAUUCAGAAAUAUUCAGAAAAAAUCGUAUUAAAUUUUCAGAGCAUUCUGAGACCUUUUAUUUUUUGGUUAUUUUUCUAUUGCAUGGGAAAUUCAGAAAACAGACAAAACAUGGCAUUUUAUUUUAUUUAACUAAUAAAAAUAGAGAAUAAAAAGUAAGGACAGAAGGUAGUGCUUACUAAAUUCAUCAACUUCAUACCGCUCAAAAAUAUCCAUUAAUAAGGUUGAUCAAGUCUUAUUAACAACCACUUUCGAUUAGCAUGAAACCAAAGAACUUUCAUAAAUCACUAAGUUACCUAAAUGGGGAUAUGAAUGUCCCCAACAAUAAGCAUUUCAUAUUUAUUUUUGGCAGUAGGUAGAGGUAUUUGAAAACUUCCAAUAGUGAUUGUCGGAGAUUUUUAAAUAACAUUAAUACCAUUCACUUGGAAUUGUUUCUUCGGAAAGUGCACCGUAUGCUCAUUACCAUUGAUAUGAAAAGUGACCUUGCUUUUAUUGCAAUCAAUAACAGCCCCUGCUGUGUUCAAGAAGGGUCUACCAAGGAUAAUCGACAUGUUGUCGUCCUCGGGCAUCUCAAGUAUAACAAAGUCAGUCAAAAUAGUAACAUUAGCAACAACAACGGGCACAUCCUCAUAGAUACCGAUAGGUAUGGCAAUUGAUUUGCCAGCCAUUUGCAAAGAUAUUUCAGUAGGUGUGAGCUUAUUCAAGUCAAGUCUUUUAUAUAAAGAGAAAGGCAUAACACUAACACCAGCUCCUAUCACACAAAGCAUUUUUCACAUAAUUCUUUUUGAUAGAGCAAGGUAUAGUUCGUAUUCCCGGAUCUCCAAGUUUUUUAGGUGCUCCAUCUUUGAAAGUAUAAUUAGCAAGCAUAGUGGAGAUUUCAGCUUCCGGUAUUUUUCUCUUAUUUGUGAUGAUGCCUUUCAUAUACUUUGCAUAUGGAGGCAUUUUCAAGAUAUCAGUCAAGCGAGUACGCAAAAAGACUGGCCUCAGCAUUUCAGCAAAGCGUUCAAAAUCUUCAUCAUCUUUCUUUUUGUUGACUUGGGUGGAAAAGGCAUAGGUUUUUGAACCCACGGUUCUCUUUCUUUAUCGUGCUUUCUAGCAAUGAAGUCUCUUUUAUCAUACCUUUUAUUCUUAGGUUGUGGGUUAUCAAGAUCAACAGGUGGUUCUAUCUCAACAUCAUUAUCUGGUUCUCCUUCAUUAUUUGGUUGGGUAUCUUCAUGAACAUCAGCAUUAUCUUUUUUCAUUAUCACUAGGUAGAUGUUCAUUACUAGAUUGAGUUUCAGCAUCUGAGAUAGAAGUUUCAUUUUCAUUAUCAGGAGGUUUCUCUAUUUCAGGUUCACUAGAAGCAUGCAAUGUCCUAUCAUUUUUCUUCUUCUUUUUCUUUUUAGAAGGACUAGGUGCACUAAUGUUAUUUCUUUGUGAGUCUUGUUCAAUACUUUUUGGGUGUCCCUCAGGAUAAAGUGGUUCCUGAGUCAUUUUACCUCCUCUAGUUGCAACUCUAACAACAAAGUCAUGUAUAUUAUUAUUCAUUUCAUCAAGUAAUUCCCUUUGUUAUUUAGCAACUUGUUCUAACUGAGUUUUCCAACACCUCUAACAUCAUUUGAGAUUCUAAAUAACAAGUCACUUAAGAGAGCAAUCAUAUCAUAAUUGUAUUUCAAUUGUUUCAUAACAUUUGCAUUGAAGUGAUCUUGCUUUCUAAUGUAAUUAUCAAACUCAUAAAGGCAUUGACUAGGGUGCAUAUUGUGAGGAUUAUCAUUAUCAUUGAACUUCAUUAAAGAAUUUACCUCUACCACCUUAGGCAGUGGUGGUGUAUUAAGCCCAUGUAUUUCUUCAAUAGGAGGUAAAAUUUUAACAUCCUGAGCUUUAAUACCUUUUUCCUUCAUAGAUUUCUUUGCCUCUUGAAUAUCCACGGGACUGAGAUAUAAUAUACCCCUCUUCUUCGGAGUGGGUUUAGCCGGUGGUUCAGGAAGAGUCCAAUCAUCAUAAUUUUUCAAUAUGUUAUUCAAUAAUUCUUCAGCUUGUCCAACAGUUCUUUCCCUGAAAACACAACCAGCACAACUAUAUAGGAAUCCCUAGAAGCAUCGGUUAGUCCAUUAUAGAAGAUAUCAAGUAUUUCAUUUUUCUUGAGAGGAUGAUCAGGCAAAGCACUAAGUAACUAGCAAAGCCUCCCCCAAGCUUGUGGGAGACUCUCUUCUUUAGUUUGCACAAAGUUAAAUAUUUCCUGUAAGGCAGCUUGUUUCUUAUGAGCAGGAAAAUAUUUUUCAGAGAAGUAAUAAAUCAUAUCCUGGGGACUACGCACACAACUAGGAGCAAGAGUAUUAUACCAAGCUUUAGCAUCACCCUUUAAUGAGAACGGGAAUAAUUUGAGAAUAAAUUAAUAGUGAGUCUUCUCAUCAUGAGUAAAAAGGGUGGCUAUGUCAUUCAACUUAGUAAGAUGUGCCACAACAGUUUCAGUUUCAUAACCAUGGAAAGGAUCAGAUUCAACCAAAGUAAUUAACUCUGGGUCGACAGAGAAUUCAUAAUCCCUAUCAUCAAUAAAGAUAGGUGAGGUAGCAAACUUAGGAUCAUAUUUCAUUCUAGCAUUCUGUAACACCCCGGUGUAAUGAUGCUACAGUAACCCCUGAGAUCAAGCUAAUCAUUUUGCUAUAACACCGCUUAGUCACUUUGAUCAAUAUUCCAUUUCAAAUUCCAGUUGAAUUCAAUUUCAAAUUCUGAGUGAAAUUCAAAAUUACUCAAACAAGAAAACUAAAAUGUUCAUCAUGUGCCCAAUAAUUCUUUGAAAUUGUUUUGGCCAGUGGCAUAUUUUUGCAAAGUUAAUUGUGGCUAAAAGAAAAUGCAAAAGCUGCAAAAAGGAGAGGGGAAAAUCAAAAGGAAAAAGAAAAGGAAAGAAGAAGGGGUGGGAGAGCCCCUGGCCUUCCCUUGGGCUCGGCCCAUCCCAGCAGGCCAGCCCACCUACCUUUCCCCGGUCCUGUUCCCCUCCCCCUGUUCAAUCGACCGAGGGCGCGCGCCCGCACGUCGCCGCCGGACCAGCUUGUCGUCCCCAUCGCCGAGAUGAUAAGGUCGCCGCCCCCGGACGCCUCGAGUCCUCCCCCUCACCUACCGCCACUCCCGCUUCUCCUUCCCCCUGGCUCUACCCCACCCACUCUCCCCUUCUCUCUCUCUCCCUCUCCUUCGUUUUGGAGAGGAGGCCGACGAGGUUGCUGCCGUGCCACGCUAGUCUCCGCGGCAACAACCACCGCAUCGCUUCGUCGACGCGUCUGUCGUCUUCAUCAUCGUCUUCCUCGACGUCUGGUGGUCGCAGCUGGAGCCUGGAGGCACUACAGCACCGGGAAUCCGCUGUUCCCCAUCUCUGAUCGCCGCCGCCUCCUUCGUCUCCGACGCCACCUCUGCAGCUCCUAAACCAUCACGGGCCUACGUGUGAGCCGCGCAGUGAGCUUCUCCGUCCCUUGCUCCUCUUCGUUGACCCCUCGCGCACUGUAGCUACCUCAUCACUGUUGCCGUGAGCCCAUGGCCACGGAUCGCCUCGCUGCCGUGGUCAUAGCCCCUGUCGCGCUCACCUGGGCACGGCAUCGAGCUCCUGGCGCUCCCAUGAGCCCAACGAGCUCAAGUCAGUGCCUACCCGUGCCUCCUAGCAUAGUUUCCGUUGAGGACCCGAUCGCGCUGCCACCGUAGCUCGUCGCCGUCCACUUUUCCGUCCGGUUCCGGCGAAACCACCACCACCACUAGACGCGACACUCGCUGCUCGUUCGAACGUGCCCAAGCGCGCGCGAAACUACCCACCGUAGAUGAAACCGGCGCGUUCCGGCGACGCGCCGCCGCAUUUUGGGUCACCGGAGCAACUCCGGCGCCGGCCGCCGACGUGGCUAGGCAGGCCCCACCCUUGGGUCACGGCCAGUGGGCCAUGGGGGCCCCGUUGACUGGGUUGACCCAGUCAACGUGCUGACUGGGCAGCCCAGUACCACUAACAUGCAGGCCCCAUCGCAUAAUUAAGCUAAUUAAAAUGUUUUUUAUAAUUAAAAGUAAUUAGUAAUCUAAUCUGCCACUGACAUGUGGGGCCCAGCUGUUAAUUAACCUCAUUUUAGUUAGUUUAAACUUCUGUUAGUCCAUUGUCUAUGAGAGGUGGGACCCACUGGUCAGUUUGACCUGGUCAGCCGUCCUGUUGAAUGCUGACGUCACAAUGAUGUCAUGCUGACUUAGUAAUUCUUUUCUGUCAAUUUAAUUAAUUCUAGAAAAUGUUUAAUCUUUGAAAAUUCAUAGAAAAUAAACCGUAGCUCGGAUCGAAAAACUUUCUACAUGAAAGUUGCUCAAAAAAUCCAAUGAAUCCGAAUACGCGGUCUGUUCAUCUGUCACAUGCCCCUAGCAUGUUGAACAUGGAACAUUCCCCCUCCGGUCAUCUGUUUGACACAUGUCCAGAACCGGGAAAACAUUCCCGGUUGUUUUCCCCUUCCCCUUUUUCGUGCAGCACUACGUUAGGUCGACCCUAGUUCUGCAUAUCGUCAUGUCAUGCUUACUGUUGCAUCUUGUUUGCUCUGUAUUUACUGUUUAUUCCCCCUCUUCCCUCCGGUAGACCCCGAGACUGAUGCUGCCCUUGGGAUCGACUACGUCGACGACGACCCUUCUUCCCUUUCAGCAGAGCUUCCAGGCAAGUCCCCCUUUGAUCAUCCCGAUAUCACCCAUUCCAUUCUCUCAUGCUUGCAUUAGAUUUUGCUACUGUAAUUGAUUGCUCCUAUUCUGAUGCAUAGCCUGCUUUUGUAACCUGCUUAUUGUUACCUACCUACUUAUCCUGAACUGCUUAGUAUAGGUUGGUUGGUGAUCCAUCAGCGACUCCCACCUUGUCCUUGUUACCCCUGCUUCAUCAUUCAAGACCCGAUCAACGGGAUCGAAGACCAGGCCCCGGUGAUACGUCUCCAACGUAUCUAUAAUUUUUGAUUGUUCCAUGCUAUUAUAUUAUCUGUUUUGGAUGUUUAAUGGGCUAUAAUAUGCUCUUUUAUAUUAUUUUUGGGACUAACCUAUUAAUCGGAGGCCCAGUGCCAGUAUUUGUUUUUUUGCCUAUUUCAGUGUUUCGCAGAAAAGGAAUAUCAAACGGAAUCCAAACGGAAAGAAACCUUCGCGAGGAUCUUUCUUGGAACAAACGCAAUCCAGGAGACUUGGAGUGGAAGUCAGAGACACAACGAGGCGUCCACGACGCAGGAGGGCACGCCCAGGGGGGUAGGUGUGCCCCCACCCUCGUGGGCCCCUCGUAGCUCCACCGACGUACUUCUUUCGCCUAUAUAUACUCUUAUACCCUAAAAACAUCCGGGGGAGCCACGAAACCACUUUUCCACCGCCGCAACCUUCUGUACCCAUGAGAUCCCAUCUGGGGCCUUUUCCGGCAAUCUGCCGGAGGGGGAUUUGAUCACGGAGGGCUUCUACAUCAACACCAUAGCCUCUCCGAUGAUGUGUGAGUAGUUUACCACAGACCUUUGGGUCCAUAGUUAUUAGCUAGAUGGCUUCUCUCUCUUUGGUUCUCAAUACAAAGUUCUCCUUGAUGUUCUUGGAGAUCUAUUCGAUGUAAUAUUCUUUUGCGGUGUGUUUGUCGAGAUCCGAUGAAUUGUGGGUUUAUGAUCAAGAUUAUGUAUGAACAAUAUUUGGUUCUUAUCUGAAUUCUUAUAUGCAUGAUUUGUUAUCUUUGCAAGUCUCUUUGAAUUAUCGGCUUAGUUUGGCCUACUAGAUUGAUCUUUCUUGCAAUGGGAGAAGUGCUUAGCUUUGGGUUCAAUCUUGCGGUGUCCUUUCCCAGUGACAGUAGGGGCAGCAAGGCAUGUAUUGUAUUGUUGCCAUCGAGGAUAAAAAGAUGGGGUUUAUAUCAUAUUGCUUGAGUUUAUCCCUCUACAUCAUGUCAUCUUGCCUAAUGCGUUACUCUGUUCUUAUGAACUUAAUACUCUAGAUGCAUGCUGGAUAGCGGUCGAUGUGUGGAGUAAUAGUAGUAGAUGCAGAAUUGUUUCGGUCUACUUGACAUGGACGUGAUGCCUAUAUUCAUGAUCAUGCCUAGAUACUCUCAUAACUAUGCGCUUUUCUAUCAAUUGCUUGGCAGUAAUUUGUUCACCCACCGUAAUAUAUGCUAUCUUGAGAGAAGCCAUUAGUGAAACCUAUGGCCCUCGGGGUCUAUUUUAUAUCAUAUAAGUUUCCGAUCUAUAAUUCUAGUUCACUAUUUAUUUUACUUUGCAAUCUUUACUUUCCAAUCUAUACAACAAAAAUACCAAAAAUAUUUAUCUUACUAUCUUUAUCAGAUCUCACUUUUGCAAGUGCCCGUGAAGGAAUUGACAACCCCUUUAUCGCGUUGGUUGCAAGGUUCUUGAUUGUUUGUGCAGGUACUAGGCGACUUGCGUGUAAUCUCCUACUGGAUUGAUACCUUGGUUCUCAAAAGUUGAGGGAAAUACUUAUGCUACUUUGCUGCAUCACCCUUUCCUCUUCAAGGGAAAACCAACGCAUGCUCAAGAGGUAGCAAGAAGGAUUUCUGGUGCCGUUGCCGGGGAGAUUUGCACCAAGUCAAGUCAAGAUUUGAUCUCCCGUCAACUAGCCAUUUCUGGCGCCGUUGCCGGGGAGAUCUACGCUCAAGUCAAGGCAUACUAAGUACCCAUCAUAAACUCUUCUCCCUCGCAUUACAUUAUUUGCCAUUCACCUCUCGUUUUCCUCUCCCCCACUUCUAAAACAAUUUUUGAAAACCUUUGCCUUUUCUUCGCCUUCUUACCGUAUGUCUUUUUAUUUGUGUUUCCACGUGCCUUCUAUUUGCUUGCAUCUUUGCUUGCUAAAAAUCUAUUGAUAUGGAUCCACUUAGAGUGUUCUACUUGGAUCAUCUUCGAUCCUUAUGCGCUCGUGCUGAAACCCCAACUAGUCUAGUUGAUGGGAAACCUUUAGAUGAGCGUGCUCAUUUUGUGCGUCACCGUUUGUCUGAAAAAGGGAGACUCUUAUGGGAUCAAAUAAACAGAUUGCUGUGUUAUGCUUGGAAUUUUUGUGAAAUUUAUGAUUUUACUUGUUGCUCUAAGAACCCUAAAAAACACCUUCCCUUCCUAUGUGAGUUUAAUGAUAAUGAAAUCUUAUAUUCUUAUGCAAAGGGUGUUUAUAGUUACUAUGAUAUCGAACAAAUUGAAGAAUUUGUUGCUUUUAAGGGUGCUUAUGAAGUUGCUUCUUUGAUUGAAAAGUUUGAUAUUACUUUCUACGAAUCUGAAAAUUUUGACAUACUUAAAUAUUGUUAUGAAAACUAUGCUCAUAAUGUCUAUGUCAAAGAAUUUAUUGAGAGAAUGACCGUUGCUUUGGAAGAAAAUAAUGAUAUGCAUGAAUCUAUAGAUAAUGAUGAUUAUGAUGAUUUGAUUGAAAUUUCCCUUGAUGUACAUGAUGCUUGCUAUUCUUGUGGCCAUGAUGCCAAUAUUUUUGAAGACGAAUUUGCUAUAGUUCCUUAUGUUAAACAUGAGAUCGUUGGUAUCGCGCCCAUACUUGAUAGUUCCUUUUAUGAAAAGCAUGAUUGCAAUAAUGUUAUUAUAAAUUCUAUUGAUGUCAAUUGUGUUAAUGAUAUGCAAAACCUCAAGCUUGGGGAUGCUAGUUUUGCUAUGACUACUACUUGUUGCAAUGAUCAUGAUUGGGGUGAUUCUUCUUAUGAUCUUGAAAAUUUAUUUAAGCCCCAUGAUGAAUAUGAGAUUGAUAAUAGUGUUUGCAAUAAUAUUGAAAGCGGGUUUGGAAGAGUGUCAACUUUAUAUCCCACAUAUUUGGAGAAUGUUCAAUCUUAUGGUAUUUUUGAUAAAAGUGGGUUUGGAGAGGUCAUGACUUUAGUUAAUGAUAAUCCCACUAUUUUGGAAGAGUGUCAACUUCGCAUGCAUGUGGAUUGUGUUGAGAAUAUGUUAUUUGAUAGCUAUUUUGUUGAAUUUGCUGAUGAUCCUACAUGUAAUUAUUAUGAGAGAGGAAAUUAUGGUUGUAAAGUUUUUUAUCUUACUAAAUUACCUCUCGUCAUGUUGAGAUUGCUAUCGUCUCUUUCUUCUUCCUUGCAUAUGCUAAUUUUUGCUUGGUAUGAUAAUUUGUUUGCUUAUAAAAUGCCUAUGCAUAGGAAGUAUGUUAGACUUAGAUGUGUUUAUCACGUGUUCUAUGAUGCUAUCUUUGUGCUUUAAUUCUUGUCUUUGAUGUGAGCAUCAUUAACAUUAUCAAUUCCUAGCUAGGGGCGUUAAACGAUAGCGCUUGUUGGGAGGCAACCCAAUUUUAUUUUUGUUUUUUGCUUUUUGUUCCUGUUUAGUAAUAAAUAAUUCAUCUACCCUCUGGUUAGAUGUGGUUUUAUGUUUUAAUUAGUGUUUGUGCCAAGUAGAACCUUUGGGAAGACAUGGGUGAAGUCUUUGCGAUCUUGCUGUAAAAAACACAAACUUUUGCGCUCACGAGAUUAGCUGUCAUUUUUUACUGGAAAGUGAUUUUAGGUUGAUUAUUUUUGCAGAUGAUUAAUAGAAAAAUUCCUCACGUCCAAAAAUUUAUUUCAAAAAAUUUGGUGUUACAGAAGUAUUCGUAUGAAUCAGAUUGCUACAGACUGUUCUGUUUUGACAGAUUCUGUUUUUCAUGUGUUGUUUGCUUAUUUUAAUGAAUCUAUGAGUAGUAUCGGGGGGUAUGAACCAUAGAGAAGUUGGAAUACAGUAGGUUUAACACCAAUAUAAAUAAAUAAUGAGUUCAUUACAGUACCUUAAAGUGGCGGUUUGUUUUCUUUUACUAACGGAGCUCAUAAGAUUUUCUGUUAAGUUUUGUGUUGUGAAGUUUUCAAGUUUUUGGGUAAAGAUUUGAUGGAUUUUGGAAUAAGGAGUGGCAAGAGCCUAAGAUUGGGGAUUCCCAAGGCACCCCAAGGUAAAAUUCAAGUACAACCAAGUGCCUAAGCUUGGGGAUGCCCCGGAAGGCAUCCCCUCUUUCGUCUUCGUCUAUCGGUAACUUUACUUGAGGCUAUGUUUUUAUUCACCACAUGAUAUGUGUUUUGCUUGGAGCGUCUUGUAUGAUUUGAGUCUUUGCUUUUUAUUUUACCACAAUCAUCCUUGGUGUACAGACCUUUUGGGAGAGACACACAUGAAUCGGAAUUUAUGAGAAUACUCUAUGUGCUUCACUUAUAUUUUUUGAGCUAGAUAAUUUUGCUCUAGUGCUUCACUUAUUACAAAACAGUAAAACUGAGCUAGCUACAAGCCACCACAUCGAUUCAACGCUUUUGGCCGUCCGAUCAUUUGUUAGACGUCCCAGAUCUUCCAAUUAUCCACUGGCGGUCGCUUGGUCAUUUUCACCGUGCCUCACCCAAUGUAAAAGGGCUGUUGCUCUGGAAAGCAACCUGUGGGUCAUGUAGUUAAUUUGGCCCAGAAGCAGCCCAAUUGGGUGUGUACAUCAGCCCACGCUAGGUUCCCCUUCCACAUCAACAGAGAAAAGAAAAGAACAAUUCAUCCUUCUCCUCUUGUUCAUAUUACCCACGGCGCAGGGUGUCCAAUUUCGCAUGUUCCUUUCGUGCUAGGAAGCUCGUGGGGAUUGACCAACUGUCAGUUUGUUGGGGUUUGAUCUGUACCGAUGGGCGACGAACAUAUAGGUGACUGAAGGCGCGAGUAUGGCCUAUGGAUUAAAGGAACUGUUCCUUUCCCUCGGCGGCAACAUCCUGUAUGGCAGUACCUUUUCGCCUCCUUUUACCAGCCGUAUAAUUCAGUGAGUCAUUAGUAACUGGUUUGAUUGGUUGUUAGUAUUCCGGCACUGCCUUAUAUAUGGAUAUUCAUUGUUGAUAUGUCUUACAUGGUGUGAUCCCGAUCGACUCCAAUAAGGGCACCCAGGCUCAUGCAAAUGCUCAAAACAGCCCAGUAACGCCACCACUUGUUGAUCAAAACGUUGUCCUUCUGAGUACUGAUUAGGAUUACAUGCAACCUUCUUGCUGGAAAUACGCUUCUGAAAAAAGAUGCUAAACUGGCCUGAUAAGAUUGGCAUUAGGCUUUUGCCGUAGGAUCCUGGAACUAUGGAUUCUAGGAACAACACCUACCAGGUUACCUGAUGUAAUCCAUAUCCUUGCAUGAGGCCUGGAGUACGUGGUUUUUCAAUUUCUCUUGGACAGUUUUAGACGAGUUAGGUGUGUUCAAGGAUUAGCUUUGGUUUUCCCAUUUUACUCUCUAAGAAAGGUAACUGAAAUUUUGUUUCUGCUCAAUUUCAUUAGGUUGCAAGAAAAUGACUGCUUGAAAUUGCUUUCCUAAACAAAGUAAUAGAUGUACAAUAUUGAUCAAACAAAUGGGCAGCAAGUCAACAACGACCCAGUAGAGAUUUUAUUGUGCUGACUAGGGCCAAGUAUAUUAUCAAACCAUUGUUGGUAAGACGAUAAUUUACUAUGAUUCAGUUGGCAAAGAGGCUCUGAUCUGCAGUUUAAAUGACGAAGAAAUACUGGAACAUGGGGAAGAGAAGCAUUUUUCACAAAAGAAGAAGAUCCGCUAAUAUGGUAAUAAUACAUACCAGUUAAAUAGAUUGGUUUUUCUGUAUUACGUGCUCUUCUGUCGUGAGUUGCAAUUGAUUACCACAACAUGCUAUGUUUUCAUCCGUUCAAGUCUGAAGAAUGGGUACUAUCUAUCAGUCUAUAUCUUUGAUUUUUUUUCUAAUAUAUAAGUUAUAACUCCGCUAUACUGCCAAUUUCUUACAUGCUCAUAUGUAUGUUGUAUGGCGUUUAAUUUCUUUUUGGUGGUCCUUUCCCUCUUUGAAUUGAAUGCCAACAUAGCAGAACAUGUACUGCAUAAGGUUCAGCAGGCUGGGUCUAACAAGGUAAAUCAUUAUUUUCUAAAGACUCAUGCGGAAGUUUGCAGGAUUAUGCACACACAUUGUUUUGUUUCGUUGACCAUAGAACAUGAUUUGCUCUUUAUUUUCUCUCCUAUGCCUAAGGCUUUGAGCUCCUUCAAAAAUAUUACUAUAAUGAAAAGGAUGAGAAGUGAGUCCUUUAGACAUGGAACGCACAUUAGUUCUUUGAAGAUCAUUUUAUUUGGGAUGUCAAUAACAGUUCUACCAAUUUGCAUCAAUUGUUUAUAUGCUAUACAAACUAUCACUUGCCCCCAGGGAAGCUUUGCUGAUUUUCCAUCACAUUUAGGAAUCUUGCUAUACAAUCUAUGACUUACUGUUGUAUCGACACUCUAUUGUCAUUAAUUAGAUGCACGGAAUUUGUGAAUAUAUAAAUAUUCUGGCUGAAGAUAGAACCAACUUGUGAUGGUUCCAUGUGGUACAUAUAACUGAAAUUGGUCAGAUGUUUCUAUAUUUCUUUCAUUAAGACAUAUUUUUACCUUUGUUAAGAUGUGCCUAAGAUGGGCGGGCGCGGCAACGCGUGCCUUUAUGAUCUAGUAUCUUUUUAGAGAACGGUGGUGGUUUUAUUUUAUAGAAAUUAUUGAUAUCUCAUGCUUCACUUAUAUUAUUUUGGGAGUCUUUUAGAACAGCAUGGUAAUUUGCUUUGGCUAUAAAAUUAGUCCUAAUAUGAUAGGCAUCCAAGAUGGGUAUAAUAAAAACUUUCAUAUAAAGUGCAUUAAAUACUAUGAGAAGUUUGAUACUUGAUAAUUGUUUUGAGAUAUAAAGCUGGUAAUAUUAGAGUCAUGCUAGGUGAGUAAUUGUGAAAUUGAGAAAUACUUGUGUUGAGGUUUGCAAGUCCCGUAGCAUGCAUGUAUGGUAACCGUUGUGUGACAAAUUUGAAGCAUGAGGUGUUCCUUGACUGCCUUCCUUAUGAGUGGCGGUCGGGGACGAGCGAUGGUCUUUUCCUACCGAUCUACCCCCCUAGGAGCAUGCGCGUAGUGCUUGGUUUUGAUGACUUGUAGAUGGAGACUAUGAUUCCCCCACAAGUCGGGAUGAGACUCCGGACGAAACAUAAAAAUAAGAGGCCAUAAAAAAAAGAGAAGGCCGAAACAAAAAAAAAA